AAGGGCCGCGGUAUUUCUGACCGUGCGAAGGUAGCAUAAUCAAUAGUCUUUUAAUUGGAGGCUUGUAUGAACGGUUGGACGAAAAACAUACUGUUUCGGACAAAAUACUUGAAUUUAACUUUUAAGUGAAAAGGCUUAAAUGAAUUAAAAAGACGAUAAGACCCUAUAAAUCUUGACACUUUUCUUUGUGUUUUACUGAUUUGUUGUGUGUGAAAGGUGAGCAUGAAGGGUGUGUUGUGUUGGGGCAACAAUAAUACAGUAAUUUUAGUUAUUAGAACGAUUAAACAGUGGUGGUUGAAUGAAAUAAAUUGAUCCUUGUUAAAGAUUAGGAGAUUAAGUUACUUUAGGGAUAACAGCGUUAUUUUUUCUGAGAGUUCUUAUCGAAGAAAGAGAUUGCGACCUCGAUGUUGAAUUAAAAAAUCUUUUUAGUGCAGCCGCU
RNAcentral lists this ribosomal RNA (439 nucleotides) under Clibanarius merguiensis. Its description in RNAcentral is "partial 16S rRNA". It matches the Rfam family "Archaeal large subunit ribosomal RNA", at positions 2003 to 2632 of the family's 2987-position model. The record is from RNAcentral. Lineage: Eukaryota; Metazoa; Arthropoda; Malacostraca; Decapoda; Diogenidae.